AUUGAACGCUGGCGGCAGGCCUAACACAUGCAAGUCGAGCGGAUGAAGGGAGCUUGCUCCUGGAUUCAGCGGCGGACGGGUGAGUAAUGCCUAGGAAUCUGCCUGGUAGUGGGGGAUAACGUCCGGAAACGGGCGCUAAUACCGCAUACGUCCUGAGGGAGAAAGUGGGGGAUCUUCGGACCUCACGCUAUCAGAUGAGCCUAGGUCGGAUUAGCUAGUUGGUGGGGUAAAGGCCUACCAAGGCGACGAUCCGUAACUGGUCUGAGAGGAUGAUCAGUCACCUUGGACCUGGACACCGGCCAGGAUCCUACGGGAGGCAAGAGUGGGGAAAUUUGGACAAUGGGGGGAAGCCUGAUCCAGCCAUGCCGCGUGUGUGAAGAAGGUCUUCGGAUUGUAAAGCACUUUAAGUUGGGAGGAAGGGCAGUAAGUUAAUACCUUGCUGUUUUGACGUUACCAACAGAAUAAGCACCGGCUAACUUCGUG
Molecule: ribosomal RNA, 483 nt
Filed under: uncultured bacterium
Lineage: Bacteria
Description: partial 16S ribosomal RNA
Rfam family: Bacterial small subunit ribosomal RNA
Source: RNAcentral